GGGUGAUCUGCCCUGCACUUCGGGAUAAGCCUGGGAAACUGGGUCUAAUACCGGAUAUGACCAGAGGCUGCAUGGCUUUUGGUGGAAAGGUUUACUGGUGCAGGAUGGGCCCGCGGCCUAUCAGCUUGUUGGUGGGGUAAUGGCCUACCAAGGCGACGACGGGUAGCCGACCUGAGAGGGUGACCGGCCACACUGGGACUGAGACACGGCCCAGACUCCUACGGGAGGCAGCAGUGGGGAAUAUUGCACAAUGGGCGAAAGCCUGAUGCAGCGACGCCGCGUGAGGGAUGACGGCCUUCGGGUUGUAAACCUCUUUCAGCAGGGACGAAGCGAAAGUGACGGUACCUGCAGAAGAAGCACCGGCCAACUACGUGCCAGCAGCCGCGGUAAUACGUAGGGUGCGAGCGUUGUCCGGAAUUACUGGGCGUAAAGAGCUCGUAGGCGGUUUGUCGCGUCGUCUGUGAAAACCAGCAGCUCAACUGCUGGCUUGCAGGCGAUACGGGCAGACUUGAGUACUGCAGGGGAGACUGGAAUUCCUGGUGUAGCGGUGAAAUGCGCAGAUAUCAGGAGGAACACCGGUGGCGAAGGCGGGUCUCUGGGCAGUAACUGACGCUGAGGAGCGAAAGCGUGGGUAGCGAACAGGAUUAGAUACCCUGGUAGUCCACGCCGUAAACGGUGGGCGCUAGGUGUGGGUUUCCUUCCACGGGAUCCGUGCCGUAGCUA
This 723-nucleotide ribosomal RNA is filed under the name Actinomycetes bacterium. RNAcentral's name for it is "bacterial SSU rRNA". It matches the Rfam family "Bacterial small subunit ribosomal RNA", at positions 119 to 854 of the family's 1533-position model. Lineage: Bacteria; Bacillati; Actinomycetota; Actinomycetes. The record is from RNAcentral.